GGGCCUAUAGCUCAGUUGGUUAGAGCACCUGACUCAUAAUCAGGGGGUCCCUGGAUCGUGCCCAGGUGGGCCCA
RNAcentral lists this transfer RNA (74 nucleotides) under Ferruginibacter sp. It matches the Rfam family "tRNA". Rfam says of the family: Transfer RNA (tRNA) molecules are approximately 80 nucleotides in length. Their secondary structure includes four short double-helical elements and three loops (D, anti-codon, and T loops). Further hydrogen bonds mediate the characteristic L-shaped molecular structure. tRNAs have two regions of fundamental functional importance: the anti-codon, which is responsible for specific mRNA codon recognition, and the 3' end, to which the tRNAs corresponding amino acid is attached (by aminoacyl-tRNA synthetases). tRNAs cope with the degeneracy of the genetic code in two manners: having more than one tRNA (with a specific anti-codon) for a particular amino acid; and 'wobble' base-pairing, i.e. permitting non-standard base-pairing at the 3rd anti-codon position. Lineage: Bacteria; Pseudomonadati; Bacteroidota; Chitinophagia; Chitinophagales; Chitinophagaceae. The record is from Rfam by way of RNAcentral.